Molecule: non-coding RNA, 215 nt
Organism: Pelobates cultripes (western spadefoot toad)
Lineage: Eukaryota; Metazoa; Chordata; Amphibia; Anura; Pelobatidae
Source: the annotation of a GenBank genome assembly
CAUUACUAUAACUACCAACAGCUGGACAGGUAAAGCUGGCCAACCCGGGCUGAAGGCCUGUCAUAAAAUGCUAAAGAAGGGACCUAGAGCAGCCCCCAAAACAUGCAUUUCUUAACAGUUUUGCUGCGGUAAAGAAAAUUUACAUUAAGGGAACAGUGUGCACACAUGCAAUAAAUUAGUUCCAGAUCUUGCAUUAGUCCUUUGUUAAAUGUGAC